RNAcentral lists this ribosomal RNA (561 nucleotides) under uncultured bacterium. Its description in RNAcentral is "partial 16S ribosomal RNA". It matches the Rfam family "Bacterial small subunit ribosomal RNA", at positions 355 to 914 of the family's 1533-position model. The record is from RNAcentral.
UGAGGAAUAUUGGUCAAUGGGCGAGAGCCUGAACCAGCCAAGUCGCGUGAAGGAAGACUGCCUUAUGGGUUGUAAACUUCUUUUAUACAGGAAUAAAAAGGCUUACGUGUAGGCCAUUGCAAGUACUGUAUGAAUAAGCAUCGGCUAACUCCGUGCCAGCAGCCGCGGUAAUACGGAGGAUGCGAGCGUUAUCCGGAUUUAUUGGGUUUAAAGGGUGCGCAGGCGGGCUUUUAAGUCAGCGGUGAAAUCUGGACGCUUAACGUCCAAACUGCCGUUGAAACUGGGAGUCUUGAGUAUGGAUGAAGUAGGCGGAAUUCGUUGUGUAGCGGUGACAUGCAUAGAUAUAACGAGGAACUCCGAUUGCGUAGGCAGCUUACUAAGCCAUAACUGACGCUCAUGCACGAAAGCGUGGGGAUCAAACAGGAUUAGAUACCCUGGUAGUCCACGCCGUAAAACGAUGAUUACUAGUUGUAUGCGAUAUGAUAGUAUGUGACUAAGCGAAAGCGAUAAGUAAUCCACCUGGGGAGUACGCCGGCAACGGUGAAACUCAAAUGAAUUGAC